This 446-nucleotide ribosomal RNA is filed under the name uncultured prokaryote. Its description in RNAcentral is "bacterial SSU rRNA". It matches the Rfam family "Bacterial small subunit ribosomal RNA", at positions 355 to 796 of the family's 1533-position model. The record is from RNAcentral.
UCGAGAAUCUUCCACAAUGGGCGAAAGCCUGAUGGAGCGACACCGCGUGCAGGAUGAAGGCCUUAGGGUUGUAAACUGCUGUCACGCUAUAGGAAAUGUUGGCAGUGAAUAGUUGUCAGCUUGACCAAAGCGAGAGGAAGCGCCGGCUAACUCCGUGCCAGCAGCCGCGGUAAUACGGAGGGCGCAAGCGUUGUUCGGAUUCACUGGGCAUAAAGAGCACGUAGGCGGCUCGCUCAGUCGGGUGUGAAAGCCCACGGCCCAACCGUGGAACUGCACCCGAUACUGGCGAGCUCGAGGACGGAAGGGGUGAGUGGAACUCCAGGUGGAACGGUGAAAUGUAUAGAUAUCUGGAGGAACACCGGUGGCGAAAGCGGCUCACUGGUCCGUCUCUGACGCUGAGGUGCGAAAGCUAGGGUAGCGAACGGGAUUAGAUACCCCCGUAGUCC